RNAcentral lists this non-coding RNA (30 nucleotides) under Macaca fascicularis (crab-eating macaque). Lineage: Eukaryota; Metazoa; Chordata; Mammalia; Primates; Cercopithecidae. RNAcentral also lists the same sequence under 1 other name. The record is from RNAcentral.
UUGCCCUGAAGGUAUCUGAGAUUGCAGGGA